This 253-nucleotide ribosomal RNA is filed under the name uncultured bacterium. Its description in RNAcentral is "partial 16S ribosomal RNA". It matches the Rfam family "Bacterial small subunit ribosomal RNA", at positions 524 to 776 of the family's 1533-position model. The record is from RNAcentral.
AUCGUAGGAGCCAAGCGUUAUCCGAAUUCACUGGGCGUAAAGCGCGUGCAGGCGGCUGGGUAAGUUGGAUGUGAAAUCUCCUGGCUCAACUGGGAGAGGCCGUUCAAUACUACCUGGCUUGAGGGCGACAGAGGGAGGUGGAAUUCCGGGUGUAGUGGUGAAAUGCGUAGAUAUCCGGAGGAACACCAGAGGCGAAGGCGACCUCCUGGGUCGUACCUGACGCUGAGAUGCGAAAGCUAGGGGAGCAAACGGG